Molecule: ribosomal RNA, 377 nt
Filed under: uncultured bacterium
Lineage: Bacteria
Description: bacterial SSU rRNA
Rfam family: Bacterial small subunit ribosomal RNA
Source: RNAcentral
AUUGAACGCUGGCGGCAGGCCUAACACAUGCAAGUCGAGCGGUAGAGAGGUGCUUGCAUCUCUUGAGAGCGGCGGACGGGUGAGUAAUGCCUAGGAAUCUGCCUAGUGGUGGGGGAUAACGUUCGGAAACGGACGCUAAUACCGCAUACGUCCUACGGGAGAAAGCGGGGGAUCUUCGGACCUCGCGCCAUUAGAUGAGCCUAGGUCGGAUUAGCUAGUUGGUGAGGUAAUGGCUCACCAAGGCGACGAUCCGUAACUGGUCUGAGAGGAUGAUCAGUCACACUGGAACUGAGACACGGUCCAGACUCCUACGGGAGGCAGCAGUGGGGAAUAUUGGACAAUGGGCGCAAGCCUGAUCCAGCCAUGCCGCGUGUGUG